CCUACGGGGGGCAGCAGUGGGGGAUAUUGCACAAUGGGGGGAACCCUGAUGCAGCGACGCCGCGUGGGUGAAGAAGCGCCUCGGCGCGUAAAGCCCUGUCAGCAGGGAAGAAAAUGACAGUACCUGAAGAAGAAGCCCCGGCUAACUACGGGCCAGCAGCCGCGGUAAUACGUAGGGGGCAAGCGUUAUCCGGAUUGACUGGGUGUAAAGGGGGCGCAGACGGCGAUGCAAGCCAGGAGUGAAAGCCCGGGGCCCAACCCCGGGACUGCUCUUUGAACUGCGGGGCUGGAGGGCAGGAGGGGCAGGCGGAAUUCCUGGUGUAGCAGUGAAAUGCGUAGAUAUCAGGAGGAACACCGGUGGCGAAGGCGGCCUGCUGGACUGCAACUGACGUUGAGGCCCGAAAGCGUGGGGAGCAAACAGGAUUAGAUACCCUGGUAGUC
Molecule: ribosomal RNA, 440 nt
Filed under: uncultured bacterium
Lineage: Bacteria
Description: partial 16S ribosomal RNA
Rfam family: Bacterial small subunit ribosomal RNA
Source: RNAcentral